This 1537-nucleotide long non-coding RNA is filed under the name Mus musculus (house mouse). Its description in RNAcentral is "RIKEN cDNA 4921515L22 gene". Lineage: Eukaryota; Metazoa; Chordata; Mammalia; Rodentia; Muridae. The record is from RNAcentral.
AUCACAUAGCAUGCCCAGCAAGCGAAUCUUCGUUGUUAGGUGUUAUUCUCCCUAAAGCUCUCUUUGGUUGAUAAUGUGUGGCCAGUUGACUCAUCCUUGUCUGGCUGAUGAUCAUGAUCCCAGGCUGGGUUGUUUCUCUCUCUGAAAUGAUGGUUUCUACAAGUAAUAAAAGGUAACAUGGUCUCUGUGCUACUGCGCAGCCUUAGAAGAAAGCAACAAGACUGCGGGACACCUGCCGAGGUCAAGGAAGCCUCCGUGUUCUUCCAAGCCUUACCAAAAUGGGACUAAUCCUUGGCUAGAGAGACAGAACCCUAUCAGCCCUGAGACAACAUCUGUUGAUCUAGCCCAGAGGGUCCACACAUCUGUACCUAAGUUCUUCGGAGAUCUACAUGUCUGCUGGCCAUAGGGCUCCAAUAUUGCAGUCCAGACACUUGGAGUUCUUUUCAUGUGAGGUCCAACUCUGCCCCAAAUCUCUCUCCCUGAGAUUCCAGUCGGAAUCCAAAGUCUUGUAUGCUCCCAGAUAGAGAAUUGCCAUGUGUCGAGAACUACCUCAUCUUUAUCUUGAUUCCCAAUAACCUCUGCAUUAGUUAAACUACAACAUAUAAGAAGCAGAGCAACCUUUUAUGAAGGCCAUGAAUUCAAGAGCAUAAAGAUCGGAACAAGUUGGAGUACUCUGAUAGUAACUUUAAAGACACAGCACAAAUUAAUUAGGGUCACAUUUAAUGUGCUUUUGAAAAAUCAAUCCAGAGAUAUAUUUUGCUAUACAAUUUUGUUGUUAGUGGAAAUAUCCUUGAAGAAAACACCUGAUAUUUAAGCUGUUAGAAUUUGAGAGUUUUCUUCAUGAACUUUGCAGCUUCGGUUUAAUUUUUGGAGUUCUACAGAAAUGUUGACAUCUGCAGACAAUCUUCCACACAGACAGGCUGAAAAGCAGCCUUUACAUGUCCCAUUGGCUCAGCAAGGAAACGUGUUAGAGAAUACAUUCCCCAUAAACAGGAAAAGCACAGGAUGAAAACGCUGUGCCCAAGAUUCUGGGCAUCUUCUCGUUUUCCUUCCUACAACUCAGUGCUUACCUUCGGUUAGCUCCGUACAUUAACUAUGGAGGGUUAGUCAAAAGUCGGCCCUAUAGGCAAGAAAAAACAAAAGCCAAAGCCGCCUUUCAGGGGCUGCAUGUGGAGGAGGAGAGUGCGUGUGAAUGUGUGCUUGAAGAAGUUAUAACAGGUCAAAGGUCUGUGUGGUGUACCAGUGAAGUAAAGACAGCAAGCUGCCCAGGGUCUGCUCUCCCUCCCUACUCACUGACAGAGUGCUUGCUCUUACCCUGGCACACCACCACUCCAAAUAAAGACUGCAUUCUCCACACGCCCUCAAUUAAGCGUCAAGCAAUCAGACUGAGGCAAGGAGCUGUUUUUCUCUGGUCAUUUGGUCCCACUGCCUCCCGAAUGAAUACUGCUAUCAUGCUAGAACUUCAAUGGCUACCUUUGACCAUUUAAGUAGGAAUCACCUGGCUCUUCUAUAGGCAAUAAAAUAAGCUGCUACUUUC